Molecule: long non-coding RNA, 812 nt
Organism: Cylas formicarius (sweet potato weevil)
Lineage: Eukaryota; Metazoa; Arthropoda; Insecta; Coleoptera; Brentidae
Exons: 4
Source: RefSeq, a predicted model, not a curated record
AUAUAAAGAGUGGAUUUAGAUAGAGUCGAGGAUUAGAAUUAUUUAUAAAUAAAUAAUUACUAAUAUUCCUUGUACCGGGUGGUCAAUUAAGGACAGUAAUUGCCGUAAAAACUUGGGGUGAAAAAACUUAUAUCUAAAGCUGCAGCGGAGAAAAUUCUGGAUAUUAUUUUUAAGUUUCUGGAAUGACCGCUAGUGGGCGUAAUCGCAUUUUUUAAUUUUAAAUCCCAAUUUAGGCGAGGUUGCACAACGUCCUCUAGCGGUGAUAUAAGUAAUCGGAAUCAAUCCACUCAGGAAAACGUCGGUCGCCUAAGAAGAGCCCUUUUCAACGAUUCUAAGUUCCCUUAAGAGAGGUCUCAACCGCAGUAAACAACGACGUAUGAAACUUGUUCGGAGGGGGACAGAUGACGUCCCACUCGCGCAAGACUGGCGGAGAUAAAUCGUCUAUGGAACUAUCAUCUAGGGUUUACCGUCCUUGGAUGUCAACAAAGUUCUACAGACAGUAGCAACGACACAUUCACAUGAAUGUUUGGAGCUAAAGCCCGAUAGGUUAGGAACUGAAGUAUUGGUUACGUCACAAUAACUUUGCAGCUGCUGUGAUUGGUGGUGGGAACUUUCUGUAGAGGGAUCAUCAUGUCUUCCAUGCUUCCCGAAAAAUUCCACUGGCAGGCAGUCUUUGAGGUCUUGCAUAGUUAUGGGAUUCAACCGAUUUAUUUCUCCAUAAGUUGAAAUAUUAUCAGUGAUAUCAUUUACAGCCUGGGGACUCCGGAAUGUCACUUAACAUAUUUUUAACGCUAUCUAUAAAAUUCAUGAGU